Lolium perenne is the source of this 2405-nucleotide long non-coding RNA. RefSeq lists it as uncharacterized. NCBI's taxonomy places the organism in Eukaryota, Viridiplantae, Streptophyta, Magnoliopsida, Poales, Poaceae. The record is from RefSeq and is a predicted model, not a curated record.
CCCACACACCUCUCCCUUGCCGGCCAUGGCCACGCCCAGCGCCGCCGCACGGCGCAGCGGCUCCGGCGUCUAAUUAUCUUCUCCUCUCUCUCUUUCUAAAUCGCGUCAGGGAGAUCAGCGGGAGGAGGCGCGUCGCGGGAGGCUCCGCGAGCACGUCGCGGGAGGAUACGCGAGGCGGCCGCCGACGAGCGCAUCGCGGGAUGCUCCGCGAGCGCGUAGCGGGAGGCUACACGAGGCGGCCGCCGACGAGCGCAUCGCGCGAGGCUCCGCGAGGCGGCCACCGACGAGAACGUCGCGGUAGGCUCCGCCAGGAUGCCUCCGACGAGCGCGACGAGGAGCUUCGCGUCGCGGGACGGUCUCCAACAGGCCGCCGACGCCGAGCGCGACGAGGCACGUCGCGGGAGGGCUUCGCCUGGACGCCUCCGACGAGCUCCAGGAGGCGCGUCUGCCUUCAGUUGUGAUUGUAGGGGAUCCACGCGUGUAUCUCUCUGUGGGUCUCUGCGUGGAUAAGGUCGGCUUUCUGGUGGUGGAGGUGCUACUGACCGGCAAGCCCGUGGUGGUCGAGGUGCUGCUAACGGGCAGGGCGAUGCCGCGCUUUCCGCGCGUGGUGGUGGUGUUGAACGACUACCUAAUGUGCGGCACCAUGUCCAGCAAGAUCGUGUGGCAGUUCCGUGACGCAGGUGCGCGCGUCAGCCUGUCCGUGGUGGGUUCGUGCCUCUACAGCGUCGACACCCUGAACGAUAGGGAGUACAUACGGCGAGAAGGCAGGGGACUACUGCGACGCCUGCUUCUCUCGCAAGUACCCUGUGCUGCCGACACUGCUCGAGCCGGCCGUCGAAUUCGAUGAAGAUUGACUGGUGAGCAGAGAACACUGCAGUUUGCUUGGAUUCUCUUAGAUUCGCAUGUUUGGCUAUUUGCAUGAUUUUGUAGAUGAAGCAUUGAUUCUCGGAAAAUAUUAGUAUUGAUUGUUGGACAGGUUUCUCUGAGAUGUUGGGCAGUUGGUUCAACCUCCAGUGUUCCUCAAGUACUACUGAUUUGAUGUUCAAACUUAAAUCAAAGAAUCGGAAGUCAGAUGGGACAAUGGGAAUUCGAAGAUGAUGCAGAUCUGCUAAAGAACAAGCAUACUGCUCAUCUAGGAGAUGCAAUAAUAACGGGACAAAUUCAAUCUUCUAUGCAAGGCAUUGGUAUGCUCUCACUACUGAGAGGUGGCUACUGAAGAAGUUCAGAUGCUUAGAGAUUAUAUGGACAACACUGCAUUACAGACUGGCAGAGCUCUGCAAAAAUACAAAAGGCGAACAAAUUGAAACCACACUUUAUGCUUUAUCCAAAUAACUACUUGAAGCAAUUGAGGGAAAACGCUUGAAGUUAAACAUUGUGAUCGCAAGAGAUGAAAACCCACAUAACUGGUGGUUCGGUUAAUACGAGGAUUGUUGGAAGAAAACAAUUCCAACUGGAAAUUCCUUCAGAUGUUCCAGCUAUAAAGGCACACACGAACGACAUAGGUAGAGAUGCAAUACUGCUUGCUGCAACCACUGAAAGCCGUCCUGAUUUCGUCCCUCGAGCCAUUGCCAACACGGUGGGGAAGAAGUGUAUUGUUUUCGCUGAUGUGACACUGGAAACUCUUGACAUGGGAUAGUUUAAUAUUCUUCACCAUGUCAAAUGUCCAGCUGAUUAAUACUACAGCACUACCAGAGCCAUCUCCUAGCAACUCCAGCCGAGCAGCAAGCAAUGAAGCAUCUGUGCUUACACACCCACCUUGAGAUAUACAGAAUCACCUCGAGGACGAGAAAGACCCACAAAGCAGCACCUGCAAGGGGCGUACUUGAGCGCGUGUUUUUUUGGUCUUUUUUCAGCUUUUCAGCAAAUCAAAAUAAAUGUGUGGCUUUGGGAGCUGUCUUUCCUAAAGCCAAAGCAACAAAUAGGCUGAAGAAGCAGUCAACAUGGACAUAGGAGGAUCAACAACUCAAGGAAAGAAGAUAAACAAUGCAUUGACAACAACUAAAACAGCAAAAAAAGGUACAUUCAACUACCAUAUUCAUGUUACAUCAAUCUCACAUCAUACUGGUGAGAAGGGGCUAGCGAAGGAACUCUUCCCUCAGCUAUCAUCAAAGGCCUACUUGGAAGCAAACGAAGACAGACAGGCAACUAGGCGGCUACAAACAAAGCCUUGCUACAAACACAGCUUUCCUCCAGGAAAUCACAGCCGACUUUUGUUAUCGACGCUACGUUGUAUAAUAAUACCAUCCUAUGUAAUGCAACCGGUAGUGGACAAUCUAGCGAUCCUGUAAUAUUGUGUACCUACAACUCUAUGUAUAAUUUACUCCUACAAUAACUUUAUACACAAUACUGCAUUUUGUGAACUUCAACCGUAGAACAUUAAUGAUUUAUUCAGAAACCUUUUAAUA